Molecule: unclassified non-coding RNA, 351 nt
Filed under: soil metagenome
Description: partial contains 5.8S ribosomal RNA, internal transcribed spacer 2, and large subunit ribosomal RNA
Rfam family: 5.8S ribosomal RNA (bases 1-119)
Source: RNAcentral
GAUGAAGACGUAGCGAAAUGCGAUAAGUAAUGUGAAUUGCAGAAUUCAGUGAAUCAUCGAAUCUUUGAACGCACAUUGCGCCCGCCAGUAUUCUGGCGGGCAUGCCUGUUCGAGCGUCAUUACAACCCUCAGGCCCCCGGGCCUGGCGUUGGGGAUCGGCGGAGCCCCCCGUGGGCACACGCCGUCCCCCAAAUGCAGUGGCGGUCCCGCCGCAGCUUCCAUCGCGUAGUAGCUAACACCUCGCGACUGAAGAGCGGCGCGGCCACGCCGUAAAACACCCAACUCUUCUGAAGUUGACCUCGAAUCAGGUAGGAAUACCCGCUGAACUUAAGCAUAUCAAUAAGCGGAGGA